AGAGAGAGAGAAUCCCCAAGCAGUCUCCGCUCUGUCAGGAUACAGCCCGGCUCGAACCGUGAGAUCAUGACCUGACCUGAAAUCAGGAGUCUGAUGCUUAACUGACUGAGCCACCCAGGUGCUCCCCCAAAUUUCCUCUUUUUAUAAAGACACUAGUCACAUUGGGUCAGGGCCCACCCUAGCGACCUCAUCUUAACGGGGUACGUCUGCAAUGACACUAUUUCCAAAUAAGGUCACACAUUCCGAGGUUCUGGGGCCCAGGCCUCCAACAUGUGAAUUUUUGAGGGACGUGAUUCAGCCAUCACCAUGGUAAAGUCAUUCUGUCAACCCUCGGGCUAUCAGGCUUACUACAGGAAGGAAAGCCCGAAACACUUCUGCAUCUCUUAUGUUUGGGACCCAACAACGUGGUUUACGCUGGCCGUUUCCUGAGGGAAAGCACACAGAUUUAUUCUUCCUUUCUCAUAAAUGCUUCCUGGGCAGAGGGCGCUAUGUGAGGUCUUGGGAGCCUGGCAGUGAACGGGAGGAACAGAAUUCUUGCUCUCGUGGAGCUUAUGUCUGGGGUGGACAGAGAAGCAGACAGAGGGACUUAAACAGAAAAGGGGAGAAUGAGAAUCGCCACGGGUUGGCUUUCGCUCCCCCGUCACUGCCGAACGCCCUUCCCCACUUUCCACGGGGCCUCCUCUGUGAGCAGCUGGGCUCAGCGAUGGGGCAACAAUCCUCAGUGGGGGCUCAUCUCAUCCAGGGGACCCCACACGUCCGCGUCCCAGGGGUGAGAGGAGACGUUGCCCCUGGCAGUAGCUGCUGGCAGAAGUGGGGGCAGGUGGCACAUGUGAGGUUAGCGGGGCCUUCCCCCCGGAGCCCCCACAAGGCACCUGCCUCUCAGACCGUUCCCCCUUGGCUGCUGCAUGAGACACCCCAGCCUUGGUCCCCUGUGUCCAGACCUUCCCACCGGAGGCUUCUCUGGAGGCUUCUCGAUGUGGCCGAGCCACAGAGCCCACCGCAGGGAACCCCAGGCGACCAUUCGAAAGACAGUGGCCAGAGAGGAGGCAGCUGCCCGCCACGUGCCUACGGCACCACAUGAUGCAGCAAACGUUACACAAUUCUGCCAACGUUGUGACUUCAGGUAAGCUAAAGCCGAGCCUGAGGCGCCCUGGAAUCCAUCAAAAUGUUAACGGCGGGGUGAUAGUUAAUAUUUGCUUCCACGCUGUGACCUACUUCUCUGUCUCUUGGAAAGUUUGAUGCACAAUUAUUGCUCAAGUAAUGGAAAAGACACCCUGGUGAAUACAAGAAGGACACGAAUGCCAGCCUCUUCCUCCCCCGCCCCAACCCCCCACCGCCGACGCUCUUAUUUUGAGCACGUGCUUCUCACUCCUGUUCCAGCCAGAAUUUUCUGCCGGGAAAACAAGCAGGCAUCUGCUCCGAGCAGGGGGGGAGCCUGAGACCCUCCCCCCCCCCCGCCCCCCACCAGCCAGGGAAGCAGCAGCCGGAAGAGUCAAGAUUGCUGGGCAGGGACGCUGUCUCGAGGUUUUCCAUCUGGUGCUUGAUAUUUCGGGGAAAUGUGUGAGGGGAGGGGGUGGCCAGAAAACAGAGAAGGGCACAGGUGACGAGGAAGCCGAGGAAGACGAGGCCCUGAUGACGGGAGGAAGGAGAAGCAGCAUCGGGGCGAGUGGGCAUUUCCUGGACCCGUGUCAUGUCUCCCACUUGGGUCAGGGGACCGAGGGCUUUGCUUCUGCAGAGGUCAGUGGUGCAAGUCAGGAAGACCUUCGAAGGGUGGCAUGUCCAGCCUUCCGUGCUGUGCAGGGGGAGCAGGGGAGGGGGAGGAUCCCCGCAAAGUCUGCAAACGCUGCUCGCUCCUGGGGGAUCCCUGUCCUCACGGGUCCUCCGGUGCUGGGCUGUGCCCCUGUCGGGGAGCUACGUGGGGUGUGUGGUUCGUGGGGUGAGGGUCCCGUGUCCCAUCCCUGCCCAGUGUCCCAAGCGGAUAUGCAGGUAGCUUACUAUGCAGAGACCCCGAGAGCGUGCCUCCCCACUCCCCACUGCUGAACUGACCCCGGGGUGGAGCCGUCCCCUCCGAAGACACAUUCCGCACAGUGACUUGCAGCCUCGAGGUGGCUGUGGAGCUGGUCCUGUCCAGUUGAACCUGCACGGAGGCCUUGCCUUUUCUGGGCUGGUGUGCCCCCCCCCCCCCAGUUCUCCCAGGCUAAGGGCAGUGCAUCCUUAGGGGUGGAGCCACAAGACAGAAGGAGUUUGGGUCUGCCAGUCACCUUGCGGUCCACUCGGACAGGACAAAUACGGAGCUUUCACAUGGGCCAGAAACCAGCCAGAGAGGAAAGGCAACAUCAGUCAGAACUUGGGGUCCACUUGGCCACCAGAUCAAGGGACUCGGCUCCUGCUGGCCACACGUGAUGAAGAUGUAAACGUUCUCCCUGCCGCCCAAACACCCAAGACCCUCUUCGUAGCCAGUUAGCAACCUAUCGCCCGUGAUACGUCCACACUGUGCAGCAUCCGGGGAGGCCCCAAGCCUGGGAGGGCGUGGGAGGGGCAGACCUGGGCUGGCCACGCACCUCAGCUGAUGCUCAGGGGUCAGAAACACAUUUUCCAGAGCUCCUGUCAAGCCCAGACGCCCAGAACCCUCCCCGUCUCUCCUGCAAAGCUCUGCCAGAUCUGUCUUCAUAGCCGGGAUCAUCCUCAGAGCCUGUGCUGGUGGCUUUGAAGGAAGACAGGGCUAGAGGGUGAGCUCAGAGCCAGGCUGGCCUGUAGGGAGAGAUGUGUCGGGCGGUUGGCGGUGACGAGAGCUCACUGUGCCAGCUACAAGUGCAGGAGGGAGAGGACAAAAGGGGGGCUUGCCCUUUCCCCAGUGAGCCUGUCACCACGGAGAGGGGCAGCCGGUGAGCGCCAAGGGGAGAGAGAGGGACGCGGGCCAAGGGAGCGGCCAGAGGUGUGCAGGGACGCAGGCACAGACAGAGCUGGCUCCCGGGCCAUGAGAGCGCCUGGCCUCCGUCUGAUAAGGUGGGUCACGUGCCUGAGCGACUGGCAUCCGUUUCCUUAUCUGGAUGGUUUCACUCUGGUCAGUGAACUGAAACCUGAGUGUCUGCCUCCAAGGAUGUGCUGGGCUGCUGGCUGCAGGGUGGGUCCGGGUGCCCACGUACACACACACACACACACACACACACGCACCCACGUGCCCUGGCUUGCACACAGAGCUGUUCCAACAAUUGUCCACGAGCACGUGAUCUUGUUUGGAAUGAACUGAAAUCAGGAUCCGGAGGAGGAAUCUGCACCCCGACACUGCCUGCAGUGCGCAAGCUGAGACACAGAGGUAGCCUGAGCAUCCGCUGACAAAUGAAUGGACAAAGAGGGAGGGACGUGUACACACAGGGGAUGUUAUUCAGCCCUCAGAUGAAGGAAAGUCUGUCAUCUGCGACAAGGCGGAGGAACCCGAAAGACAUUGCGCUGAGUCCCAGCGACUCGGGUGGGAAAUGAGGGUGACCCUGUCCAACAGGCACAAAGUUUCGGUUCUGCCAGAUGAGCCGUUCUGGAAUCUGCCGGACAACCUUGUGUUCGCAUGUAGCUAACAGAGUGGUUUGUGCCCUUCAAAACUGGUCCGAGGGUAGACCCCACGUUACGUGUUCUUAUCACACUAAUCAAUAAGUAAGUUAGUAAGUAAGUAAGUAAAUGCUUUGUAGCGAGAGCUGUUUGGAGGACAUUAUUAGGCGCCUGCUGUGUCCCAGGGGCUCAAGGAGACUCCACAUGCUUCAGCCCAGGCCGCAAGCCUAUUUCACAGAGGAACGAGGGUGCCUGUGUCACACGGCUGGCGACCCGCGGAGCCUUGAUUUCAGACCACGCCCUUGUCUCCUGUACAUCCCCCCCUGGCCAAGCCCCCAUCAGAGACAGAGUUCUUUGUGAGUGAAGGUACUUUGCAAACCCAUCUGUGCUCAAAGACGGGCCAACGUCAACUUCUUGUGAUGGUGACAGCCAAGGUAGGCGGUGGUCCUCUACCUCUCGCUGCCGGGAUUUUUAACGCCAGCUGGAGAACGUGACCUUGUCGCUGCCCUUAGGACUCUCCCGGCUAACGGCAUCCCUGUCUUCAACGACGAGGGCCAGCCCGGACCAGCCGCCGGAGCAUGUGAGGCAAGCAGCCCAGGCACCCCAUCACCCCAGCCGACAGCCAGCCGACCCUGAGCAGCACGGCCACCCAGCCGAUCUGCGGAAACACGAGAAUCCAGGGAAAAACCAGGAGAGCCGCCCAGCAGAGCCCAGCCUAAGCUGCUCGCUAACCUGCGGACUUGUGAGUUUAAGGAAGGGCUGGUGACCUUAACAACUGAGUUCACGGCCGUGUGUUGGGCAGUAGGAACUGGUAUUGCUGUGACUCAGCAGGCAGACGUGGGGUCCAUCAUCAGCGGUGUUGACCAUGUCCUGUCUUCCCCUUUGGCCCGGAGACAGGGAACACCACCAGCCUGGCCCCUUGCCGCUUCGUGGGGCUGCACAAACAGUUCUAACCAGUCGCUUCUGAGACAAGGCAGCAUACCCUGACAACUGGAGGCAUCGUUAGUCCCAACCUUGUGGCCACCUGAGGGCCACCUCAAGAUCAAGACCAAGAUGCUCAGCUCUGGAGGAGCUCCGCCUCGCUCUCUGGCCCACGUGGAGGUUGACUGAAUCCACCUGCGCAAGGGAACACGUGCGGGUCCCUGGGCCGGUGCUGAUGUGCUCUACCCCGAAGCUGGGUUUGGUUUCCAGACGAUGUCUAGAGCGCUCGUCUUGCUCUGGAAGUGGGAUGUCCUGGAUAUGAUGUCUGUGCCCUGUCGCACUGGGGGGCCGUACAUGAAGCGUGGUGCCUGCGUCUGCAUUCAAAAGGGUUAGAAGCGGAGGCCGGAUGCCUUCUAGAGGCUUCUACAGGGAAGGGCAGCCAGUGGGGCAGAUUCAGUGGAACCAGCCAGCGGAGGAGCUGGCCUCCUGCCCGCGGGGUCUGACGGCAGUGACUCCAAGAGCAGAUAUCACUGUCACCACGGCUUGAGAGACCCACACUGCGCCCCAACGUGGGACAUUGCACAUCCGGCUGACUUGAAAUGACCCCUGGGAGCACGGGCGUGGGGAGAGGGGUGUGGAGGGCACCCGGCAGUGGGUGGCCACCCCAUCCCAUCACACUUGCCCCCCUCCGGCCCCUUCCCGACCCCAAAUCUCUCCUGGGCUAGGGUAAAAAUUCCUUAAUGCCGCUCUCAGACAGGGGCUGCUCUCCUGCCUCAACCCCACACCCCCCUGCUGCCCGCAGUGAACACCUACACUUUCUCCAUCGGACAAACUUCUCUGUGACCAGGCAGGUGUAGGGCACAUGUGAUAUGUCCUUCCCUGAGAGUCACUACCUCAAUGGCUUUCAAACAACGAUUUUGGAAAUCUGUUUGACUUGACAGACUGACUUGAUAGCUUGGUUUAGGAGAAGGGCAAUAUUCAUUCAUUCAUUCAUUCAUUCGUCGGGUUAAUAGUAAUUGAGCAGCACCUGCUUUGUGGUGGGUGGUGGGUUACGGGCAGGGUGGGGCGGGGGAGCUCUCAAAGAAACAGGUUGUGGACCAUCUCUGAAGCUUGGGGACACCUGGGGACACAGCCCGAUGCAGUGGCAGGGUCUGGGGCUCUCUGUCCCCCGUUUUGGGACAGAGCCAGAUGCCAGGGUGAAGGCAGUGGGCACCCAGCUGCUGCCGGUGCGGCACCCCUCCCGAGCCUUUCCCUGCAUUUGGUGGUGGCUCGGGGCUCAGGGUGCUCCCAGCCUGCUUUGCUCCUCUCCCCUCCUAGUGGCCGCGUGUCACCGUCUGGCAGAGACCCUUCGCGAGGACCCCGGAUGCUGAACUCCAGAAUCCAUUUGAAUCGCCGUGAUGCGUCAUCUCUGGUGGGUCCCACGGAUUGGAUGCCGAUUGGCUAUGCCCGUAGGUGAGCUUGUUGGAGUCUUUCUUCUGCCUCGCAGCUGUACCAAAGGCAGACUGGCCUGGAGGGCAGGCGAGGAAGCGGUCUGGAGACCCGCAACAGGACACGGUUCCCCAGGUGGCCCAAGGACCCCCAGCCACCCUCCUGCAUGACGAGCUGCCACUUGGGGUUUGCAGGAUUCUCUUGCACUGGGUCACAGAGCCCUUGAGGGCAGGGGCCUUAGGCUGUUUACCUCAUCACUGUUUGUCAGCACAGGGCACAGAGAACAGCCUGUGCAGAAGUUUGACAAAUGAAGGAGUGAGUGAUUUCUGGAAACACAACGCUAACCUCUGCAGGGGAGACAUCUGCCAGGUUUCCCAGCUUCCCGUAAAGUGAGCGUGCUGCCAGGGCGUUUCUUGGCCUCUGCUCCCGGGGCCUCACUAAGUGCUCACCACCCUCCCUAGAGCCUCCUGAUAGAAGCUUCCAUCCAAGAGGAGAGCAGGUGCAGCGGCCUGGGGGUCAGAGGCCGGCUGGCCAGUGCUGGCUCUGCUCCCACCAGCCCGUGGGUCCAGCCAUGGGGUCCCUGGAGGCAGAUGAGCGGCUCCCAUUGGUGGCUCAAGGCACCAAAGCCCCUCAGCUGCGACGCCCGGGCUGGACCUCUUCCCCAGAGCUGGGCAACGCCCAGGGGCCCGGCCCGCAUUGUGGUCCGCUGGUCUACCUUUCCGGGCGGCACCUGCAGAAGGUCCCCAGCAUUGAGUUAUUGCUCUGGGUUCAUCCUUUCCCUUCUCUUCCGUUGUGUGAAGUCCAUUAUCAGAUUCGGGGAAGCCAACCCGCAAGAACCGAGGCUGGUUCCCAGAGCUCAUUCCUUCCUAUGCCAGGCGGCCUGUUCUCAUAGAGGAAAGUGAAAGGGGGUGGCCCCCUGGGGUAGUGGGGGCUGCGCAGUGCUUCUCAGCCUGGGGGAACCCCUUCCCCUGGGGACCUCUGGCCUCAUCUGGAGACGUCCUUGGUUGUCACGACUGCUAGGGGGUGGGGAGGGGCGGAGGUACAGGCAUCUGCUGAGCGGGGGCCAGGGAUGUUGCUAAACUUCGUGCGGUGCACAGGACGGCCCCACUGUGGAGACGAUCCAGCCGAGCAGUAGCACCAAGGCCGAGACCUGCUGUGGCUCGUCUGGCCACGCGGUGUGCUCCGUGGCAGCUGUCAGACCCUGUGAGGGUGCUUUUAUUACUGUCACCUGGAGAGAGCACGUUGGACAGGCAGCAGGCGCCCCCGUCACGGCCUCCGGUGGCUGUGCAGCUGCGGUGGGACCUUGCAGGUGGGCCGGGAGUUAGAAUGGCAUCGUCCACACUCUGCCAGGAGGUCCCGCUCAGACGCCGGAGGUAAUGGAAAUCUUUGCAAAAGUCCAAAGUGCUUUACAAGCACC
Long non-coding RNA from Leopardus geoffroyi (Geoffroy's cat), 7309 nucleotides. RefSeq lists it as uncharacterized. The record is from RefSeq and is a predicted model, not a curated record. NCBI's taxonomy places the organism in Eukaryota, Metazoa, Chordata, Mammalia, Carnivora, Felidae. The transcript has 3 exons.